This 815-nucleotide ribosomal RNA is filed under the name uncultured bacterium. RNAcentral's name for it is "bacterial SSU rRNA". It matches the Rfam family "Bacterial small subunit ribosomal RNA", at positions 625 to 1438 of the family's 1533-position model. The record is from RNAcentral.
CUUCGAGACUGUGAGGCUAGAGCACGUCAGAGGGUGAUGGAAUUCCCGGUGUAGCGGUAAAAUGCAUAGAUAUCGGGAGGAACACCAGUGGCGAAGGCGGUCACCUGGGGCGUUGCUGACGCUGAGGAACGAGAGCUAGGGGAGCGAACGGGAUUAGAUACCCCGGUAGUCCUAGCUGUAAACGAUGGGCACUAGGUGCUGGGAGAUUCGACCCUUUCAGUGCCGAAGCUAACGCAUUAAGUGCCCCGCCUGGGGACUACGGCCGCAAGGUUAAAACUCAAAGGAAUUGACGGGGGCCCGCACAAGCGGUGGAGCAUGUGGUUUAAUUCGAUGCUACGCGAAGAACCUUACCUGGGCUUGACAUUCCGCUGAAAUCCCGCGGAAACGCGGGACCUCCUUCGGGACAGCGGUGACAGGUGGUGCAUGGCUGUCGUCAGCUCGUGCCGUGAGGUGUUGGAUUAAGUUCCGCAACGAGCGCAACCCUCGCCGCUAGUUGCCAUCAUUAAGUUGGGAACUCUAGCGGGACUGCCGGCGUCAAGCCGGAGGAAGGUGGGGAUGACGUCAAGUCAUCAUGCCCCUUACGCCCAGGGCAACACACGUGCUACAAUGGCCGGUACAACGGGUUGCCACGUGGCAACACGGAGCAAAUCCCUAAAAGCCGGCCUCAGUUCGGAUCGAAGGCUGCAACUCGCCUUCGUGAAGUCGGAAUCGCUAGUAACCGCAGAUCAGCAUGCUGCGGUGAAUACGUUCUCGGGCCUUGUACACACCGCCCGUCACACCACGAAAGUCGGCAACACCCGAAGUCGCCAGGCUAA